RNAcentral lists this ribosomal RNA (580 nucleotides) under Serratia sp. VK113. RNAcentral describes it as "bacterial SSU rRNA". It matches the Rfam family "Bacterial small subunit ribosomal RNA", at positions 66 to 640 of the family's 1533-position model. Lineage: Bacteria; Pseudomonadati; Pseudomonadota; Gammaproteobacteria; Enterobacterales; Yersiniaceae. The record is from RNAcentral.
GUAGCACAGGGAGCUUGCUCCUGGGUGACGAGCGGCGGACGGGUGAGUAAUGUCUGGGAAACUGCCUGAUGGAGGGGGAUAACUACUGGAAACGGUAGCUAAUACCGCAUAACGUCUACGGACCAAAGUGGGGGACCUUCGGGCCUCAUGCCAUCAGAUGUGCCCAGAUGGGAUUAGCUAGUAGGUGGGGUAAUGGCUCACCUAGGCGACGAUCCCUAGCUGGUCUGAGAGGAUGACCAGCCACACUGGAACUGAGACACGGUCCAGACUCCUACGGGAGGCAGCAGUGGGGAAUAUUGCACAAUGGGCGCAAGCCUGAUGCAGCCAUGCCGCGUGUGUGAAGAAGGCCUUCGGGUUGUAAAGCACUUUCAGCGAGGAGGAAGGGUAGUGUGUUAAUAGCACAUUGCAUUGACGUUACUCGCAGAAGAAGCACCGGCUAACUCCGUGCCAGCAGCCGCGGUAAUACGGAGGGUGCAAGCGUUAAUCGGAAUUACUGGGCGUAAAGCGCACGCAGGCGGUUUGUUAAGUCAGAUGUGAAAUCCCCGCGCUUAACGUGGGAACUGCAUUUGAAACUGGCAAG